AAGCCUGGGCAGCAGUGGGGCUGUAAUGGGGCUGCUGACUGGGACUGGCUUGUGGCCUGUGGCCAUAUUCACAGUCAUCUUUAUAUUACUGGUUGACCUGAUGUACCGGCGCCAGCGCUGGAAUUCUCGUUACCCACCUGGCCCUGUGCCACGGCCUCUGCUGGGUAACCUGCUCCAGGUGAACCUAGAUAACAUGCCAUACAGCUUGUACAAGCUUCACAAACGCUAUGGUGACAUGUUCAGCCUUCAGAUGGUCUGGAAGCUUGUAGUUGUGAUCAACGGACUAAAAGCAAUGCAGAAAGUGCUGGUGACCUAUGGAGACAACACUGGUGACCUCCCUGCAAUGCCCAUCUUUGAGUGCCUGGGUUUGAAACCCAAAUCCCAAGGUGUGGUCCUUGCACCAUACGGGCCGGAGUGGAGAGAGCAGAGGCGAUUCUCUGUGUCUACCAUGUGCAACUUCGGCCUGGGCAAGAAAUCUCUGGAGCAGUGGGUGACCAAGGAGGCCGCCACCUCUGUGAUGCCUUCACUGCCCAGGCUGGGCGGUCCAUCAAUCCCAACACCAUGCUGAACAAAGCGGUGUUCAAUGUGAUUGCAUCCCUCAUUUUUGCCCGUCACUUUGAAUAUGAAGACCCUUACCUCAUCAGGAUGCUGACAAUACUGGAAGAAAAUUUGUCAGAAGUUUCUAGCUUCAUUCCUGGGGUUCUUAAUGCAUUCCCGAUUCUCCUGCGCAUCCCAGGGCUGGCUGACAAGGUCUUCCAACGUCACAAGACCUUCGUGGCCAUAGUGGAUAACCUGUUGACUGAGAAUAAAACCACGUGGAACUCUUCCCAGCCACCCCGAAAUUUGACUGAUGCCUUCUUGGCAGAGAUAGAGAAGGCCAAGGGGAAUCCUGAGAGCAGCUUUAACAAUGAGAACCUGCGCAUGGUGGUCAUUGACUUGUUCACUGCAGGGAUGGUGACCACCUCAACCACACUGUCCUGGGCCCUGCUGCUCAUGAUCCUGCAUCCAGAUGUGCAGAGCAGAGUCCAAAAGGAAAUCGACGAGGUCGUAGGGCAGGUGUGGCGUCCUGAGAUGGCAGACCAGGCCCACAUGCCCUACACCAAUGCUGUCAUCCAUGAGAUACAGUGCUUUGGGGACAUUAUUCCAAUGAAUUUUCCACGCAUCACGAGUCAUGACAUUGAAGUGCAGGACUUCCUCAUCCCCAAGGGGACGACCUUCAUCCCCAACCUGACCUCCGUGCUGAAGGAUGAGACUGUCUGGGAGAAGCCCCUCCACUUCCAUCCUGAACACUUCCUGGAUGCCCGGGGCAACUUUGUGAAGCAUGAGGCCUUCAUGCCAUUCUCAGCAGGCCGCCGAGCAUGCCUGGGGGAGCCCCUGGCCCGCAUGGAGCUCUUCCUCUUCUUCACCUGCCUCCUGCAGCGCUUUAGCUUCUCGGUGCCUGCAGGACAGCCCCGGCCCAGUGACAGUGGCACUUUGGCUUUUCCAGUUGCUCCCUCCCCCUACCAGCUCUGUGCUGUGAUGAGGGAACAAGGACACUAA
RNA transcript from Grammomys surdaster, 1539 nucleotides. It is a transcript of the gene named cytochrome P450 2D10-like, with no coding region annotated. The transcript has 9 exons. Lineage: Eukaryota; Metazoa; Chordata; Mammalia; Rodentia; Muridae. The record is from RefSeq and is a predicted model, not a curated record.